This 3948-nucleotide long non-coding RNA is filed under the name Sus scrofa (pig). RNAcentral describes it as "lncRNA (ENSSSCG00065027607.1)". The record is from RNAcentral. Lineage: Eukaryota; Metazoa; Chordata; Mammalia; Artiodactyla; Suidae.
UUUUUUUUUGGUCUUUUUGUCUUUUUGUCUUUUCUAUGGCUACACCCACGGCUUAUGGAGGUUCCCAGGCUAGAGGUCUAAUCGGAGCUGUAGCCACUGACCUACGCCACAGCCACAGCAACGUGGGGUCCGAGCCACGUCUGUGACCUACACCACAGCUCACGGCAACGCCGGAUCCUUAACCCACUGAGCAAGGCCAGGGAUUGAACCCACAACCUUAUGAUUUCUAGUCAGAUUCUUUAACCACUGGGCCAAGAUAGGAACUCCCUAAAAUUUUGAUUUGUGUGGUUUUGGUGAUGUGUCUGUAGAAGUUGUAUUUUACAUUUUUAUUUUUAAAAUAUAAAAACCUAUUUUUAACCUGUUUUGGCUUUUUCUGUUUUCCUAAUCACUCAUUCUUCCCAAAAUCUGACUUCAAGAACUUUUCUUCUCUGAUCAAGCAGUGAAUGGAAAGAACAAAGGCUUUAGAAUCCCACAAUUAACAAUUCACAUCUGACUCCAACCCUGCCACUUAUGGUUGGUAUGAUGGUUAGAAAAUUACUAAUUUUUCUGAGCCAGAGCACCUUCAUAUAUAAAGUGGAGAUAAACAAAAGAAACCAACUUUAAAGGGUUGGUCUUAGGAUGAUGGUGACUAUAAAGUGGCUGACACUUAAUAUGAUCAUGGGAGAAGGAAGAAUGCCUCAUACUCUUAAAAGGAGGAGGCAUUAUUACGUUAAGUAUCACUAAGAUUUCCCUAAAAUGCCCUCUCUAUAGUUCUUUCUCAUAGUAUCCAGGAACCUUCAGGUCCAUCCUGUCUCUGCAAAUUUCCUACUCAAUAACUGCCUUGUUGACCUACAUCUCUUGAGACAAAUACGAAACUGUUUCAAUUUAGGAAAUAUAAAUUUAAUUAAAACAGAUCUCACAAACGUAUGUAAUUGGUUGCCUCACAGCUGGGAUAUUAAGUGGCUGAAGAACAGGGAGAAGGAGGGAAACUUUUUGCUUUAUCCUUUCUUAUAACUCCUGAAUUUUGAAACAUGUAAGUAUAUUACCUAGCUAAGAUUUUUUGCUUUAUUUUGUUUUUUGUUUGUUUUUAAGGGAGGCCUCAUAGUCUGGUCUGAAAUGUCCAUUGCUUUUCUUACUUCAGUAGCCAUUCAUCAAGAGCUUGGGUGAUUUAAGCACCAACCAGUCGUCAUCACUUACCUAAUAAGCUUCUCCUAGAGACAUUUCUGUUUCUGUUAUUGCUCCUACCAACACCAAAUCGUCCACAAUAAAAAUUGGUGGAAAAUCUAGUUCCCUUCCUUUUUAUAUAUUUAUAUACCCCCCCCCCCCACUUUAGUCAAUCAGUCAGUUACCACAGCCUGGGCAUUCUAUUCUGCUAGUAUUUUUCUUUCCAUUUCUACUGCAAUCUUUAUAGUUUCAGACUCUCAUUGCUUCACAUCUUAACUAAUAUUAUAUCUUCUAACACCUGGUUUUUCAACUCUACCUCUUUCUGCUGAGCCUACACCCUUGCUGCCAAGUUAAUCAUCCUAAAAGUUUGUCCCACUAACGUCAUUCCCUUUCUCAAUAACCUGCAGUCACAACUCAGUGACCACCAAAUAAAGUGUGAACACCCUCACCUGCUUAAAGGCUCUGAAAUGAGGCCCUACCCUACACUCUUCACCUUCACUGUAUACAUGGUGUUACACACCUAUUCGUACUAAACAAUUUGCCAUUUUCCAAAUAUACCUUUCACUUUAACUUCCUUGAAUACAUUUGAUACAUACCUCUUAGACAUAUUCUGUAUACUAGAUACUAUUCUACAUCCUGGGGAUACAGUGAUGAAAAAGAAAGGCAAAAAUCUCCCCCAUCUUGCAGGCCACAUCCAUCUUGGAUACCAUUUUUCCAGUGGUAGAAAUUUUAUCCAUCCUUAAAGUACUAUUGAAAUCUCUCUCUAAGAGCUAUAGCAACUCCCUUAGCCCAAGUUACUAGUUCUUUGAGCUCUCUAUAGUUAUUUAUUUACUUACUUACUUGCUUAUUUACUUGUUUUUGAUGGCAGCUCAUUCUACUUUAUAUUUUAAGUAUUCGAUAUUCUUUUUUAUUUGCUUUUCUUAUUUUUUAACUUUAUUGAGGAAUAAUAGACAAAUAUAAUUGUAUAUAUUUAAAGUACACAAGGUGAUUGUUUGCUAUACAUAUCCAUCAUCAUGGGAUGAUUAACAAGAUCAAUAUAAUUAGCAUAUCCAAAGACAUACAAAUGACCAAUAGUUAUAUGAAAAGGUCUCAAUAUCGCUAAUCAUUACAGAAAUGCAAAUCAAAACCACAAUGAGUAUUUUCCUUAAAAAGAGUUCUGGACAGCUUGGGGUCACAGACUUUUUUUUUUUUUGCAUUAAUAGUCUCCAUAAUGCUAAGCACAGUUCUUUAUUCAUAAUAAAAGUUCAGUCAUCUACUUGUCUUAAUGAUAAGCAAAUGAAACUGGGAUCCAGAGUUAUAAGCAUUUACCUGUUCCCAUUGUUCUUUUCCUAAGUUCCAGUGUAUAGUUUCUAAGCAUCAUUGACCGUCAUGAAACUAUUAUCAUCUAGCCGUUAAGAUCUGUAAUAUUUAAGCAUUUUAAUAUUGAGGAUAUUUAGAAAAACUUUAUGUGAUAUGCAACCAUAAAAUUUAAUGUAACAUUCUAAUCAAAUUUGAUCAUUUUAAUCAACAUAAACUUAAUGUAAUUAGUUAAAGCACCUCUCAUUCUAAUAUAGUAGACUUUUUUAAGGGGCCGGGGGGGUGGGCACACCUGCAGCAUAUGGAAGUUCCUAAGCUAGGGGUUGCAUCAGAGCUACAGCUGCCGGCCUAUACAGCAGCCACGCCAGAUCUGAGCCGUGUCUGCAACCUAUACCACAACUCACAGCAAUGCCAGAUCCUUAACCCACUAAGUGAGGCCAGGGAUCGAACCUGCAUCCUCAUGGAUACUAGUCAGAUUUGUAACCCACUGAGCCACAACGGGAACUCCAUAAUAGAGUAGACUUUAUAGACUUAAACAUCUUGUUCUUUCCCUUCCCUAGGAAAAGGACAAUAAUAAUUUGUAUGUAGCAAUUUUUUCUGUCAGCACUUUUUCUACAAGCACGUCUGGCUUAUACAAGUUAUUUUGAUCUCUAAUCAGACCUAUAGAAUAUAUACAGUAGAUAUUAUCUCUACUUUAAAUAGGAAGAAACUAAGAUAAGUUGCAUAAUUUACAUGACCAAAAGCUAAUGAAUGAAAAAAAUCUAGGUUUAAUUAAUAUUAUGGGCAUGAUAAUUGUCUAUUUUUCGUUAAUUUGAAAUAAUUAUGCAUUUUCUUUCUUUAGUGAAAGAAAUGAUGUCUUAAGAGAAGCUGAAAUUUUACACAAAGCUAGAUUUAGUUACAUUCUUCCAAUUUUGGGAAUUUGCAAUGAGCCUGAAUUUUUGGGAAUAGUUACCGAAUAUAUGCCAAAUGGAUCGUUAAAUGAACUCCUACAUAGGAAAAAUGAAUAUCCUGAUGUUCCUUGGCCUUUGAGAUUUCGUAUUUUGCAUGAAAUUGCACUAGGUGUAAAUUACCUGCACAAUAUGAAUCCUCCUUUACUUCACCAUGAUCUGAAGACUCAAAAUAUCUUAUUGGAUAAUGAAUUUCAUGUUAAGUUUUAAAGACUUUUUAGUUGUUUCUUCUACCCUACCAGUUUAAUACCUCUUCCUUUUCCAUAGCUCCUAAUAUAUUAUAGUGGCUUGGUUAUUCCUAGACUAUAGAGAUUGAUAAAAUUAUGGUUCAAGAGAAUUCCUGUCAUGGCUCAGUGUAAACAAAUCCAACUAGUAUCAGUUAGGAUGCGGGUUUGAUCCCUGGACUUGCUCAGUGGGUUAAGGACCUGGCGUUGCCAUGAGCUGUGGUGUAACUCGCAGACGUGCCUUAGACCAGCAUUGCUGUGGCUGUGGUGUAGGCUGGCAGGUGCAGCUCUGAUUCUACCCCUGGCCUAGAAACUUCCAUAUGCCGUGGGUGUGGCCC